AGGACGAACGCUGGCGGCGUGCUUAACACAUGCAAGUCGAGCGAGGCCCUUCCUUCGGGAAGGUGUCCUAGCGGCGAACGGGUGAGUAACACGUGGGCAACCUGCCCCUAGCACUGGGAUAACCCCGGGAAACCGGGGCUAAUACCGGAUACGACUCCGGAGGGCAUCCUCUGGAGUGGAAAAGGUUACUGGCUAGGGAUGGGCCCGCGGCCUAUCAGCUUGUUGGUGGGGUAAUGGCCUACCAAGGCGACGACGGGUAGCCGGCCUGAGAGGGCGACCGGCCACACUGGGACUGAGACACGGCCCAGACUCCUACGGGAGGCAGCAGUGGGGAAUAUUGCACAAUGGGCGAAAGCCUGAUGCAGCGACGCCGCGUGAGGGAUGACGGCCUUCGGGUUGUAAACCUCUUUCAGCUCCGACGAAGCGAAGUGACGGUAGGAGCAGAGAAGCACCGGCAACUACGUGCCAGCACCGC
RNAcentral lists this ribosomal RNA (475 nucleotides) under uncultured bacterium. RNAcentral describes it as "SSU rRNA". It matches the Rfam family "Bacterial small subunit ribosomal RNA", at positions 26 to 518 of the family's 1533-position model. The record is from RNAcentral.